UUAGCCUCAGAUGUUUGUAAACCAUUAGCCGCUCCAACAGAUGGACAAAUAAACUGCAGAGAUUCUACUACAUUUUAUCGGUGUACAGCCCAGUGUAACUCCGGCUAUGAAUUUGAUAAUGGCGACUCCACCAUACAAAAAGACUGUGACCCCAUGACUGGGCAGUUUUUUGAUGGCCCAGCUUUUCCAAAAUGUAUACCCACCUGUAGCCCAGCCUGUCAAAAUGGAGGGACCUGUGUUCAGCCCAACGUCUG
Molecule: long non-coding RNA, 254 nt
Organism: Magallana angulata
Lineage: Eukaryota; Metazoa; Mollusca; Bivalvia; Ostreida; Ostreidae
Exons: 3
Source: RefSeq, a predicted model, not a curated record